Long non-coding RNA from Gorilla gorilla gorilla (western lowland gorilla), 1787 nucleotides. RefSeq lists it as uncharacterized. The record is from RefSeq and is a predicted model, not a curated record. NCBI's taxonomy places the organism in Eukaryota, Metazoa, Chordata, Mammalia, Primates, Hominidae. The transcript is spliced from 9 exons.
CUGCCCUUGACUACUAUGAAGACUGGUGUGGGAAGGGUCCCUUUGGAUGCACUUGAGCAGGGGUCCCCAACCCCUGAGCCAUAGAGCUGUAAGGAGCCACACAGCAGGUGGGACCAUCCAGUUUCAGGAAAACAAGCUUAACACGCCCACUGAUUCUACAUUAUGCUCCUACCUCCCGGCAGCCUCGCCAGGCCCAGAACUCUCUCCAGUCAGCCUCUACAGACCAAGCUCAUGACUCACAAUGGCCUAUUUAGGCCCAUACCCUACCUCACGGCAGUCUCCGCAGAUGAGCCUACUGCCUCACAACAGCCUCCACAGGCACAGCUCCAUCGUUACAAUGGCCUCUUCAGACCCAGCUCCUGCCUCCCAGCCUUCUAUCCAGGCCCUGAACUUUCUCCGUGGGACCAUCCAGUUUCAGGAAAACAAGCUUAACACGCCCACUGAUUCUACAUUAUGCUCCUACCUCCCGGCAGCCUCGCCAGGCCCAGAACUCUCUCCAGUCAGCCUCUACAGACCAAGCUCAUGACUCACAAUGGCCUAUUUAGGCCCAUACCCUACCUCACGGCAGUCUCCGCAGAUGAGCCUACUGCCUCACAACAGCCUCCACAGGCACAGCUCCAUCGUUACAAUGGCCUCUUCAGACCCAGCUCCUGCCUCCCAGCCUUCUAUCCAGGCCCUGAACUUUCUCCGUGGGACCAUCCAGUUUCAGGAAAACAAGCUUAACACGCCCACUGAUUCUACAUUAUGCUCCUACCUCCCGGCAGCCUCGCCAGGCCCAGAACUCUCUCCAGUCAGCCUCUACAGACCAAGCUCAUGACUCACAAUGGCCUAUUUAGGCCCAUACCCUACCUCACGGCAGUCUCCGCAGAUGAGCCUACUGCCUCACAACAGCCUCCACAGGCACAGCUCCAUCGUUACAAUGGCCUCUUCAGACCCAGCUCCUGCCUCCCAGCCUUCUCUCCAGGCCCUGAACUUUCUCCGUGGGACCAUCCAGUUUCAGGAAAACAAGCUUAACACGCCCACUGAUUCUACAUUAUGCUCCUACCUCCCGGCAGCCUCGCCAGGCCCAGAACUCUCUCCAGUCAGCCUCUACAGACCAAGCUCAUGACUCACAAUGGCCUAUUUAGGCCCAUACCCUACCUCACGGCAGUCUCCGCAGAUGAGCCUACUGCCUCACAACAGCCUCCACAGGCACAGCUCCAUCGUUACAAUGGCCUCUUCAGACCCAGCUCCUGCCUCCCAGCCUUCUAUCCAGGCCCUGAACUUUCUCCGUAAGUUGAGGUAGCUGGGACUGUAGGUAUACAUGACGAUACUUGGCUAAUUUUUAAAUUGUUUUGCAGACAUGGGGUCUCACUUUGUUAGCCAGGCUGCUGUCAAACUAAUGGCCUCAAGUGACCCUUCCACCCCUGCCUCCCAUCCUCGAGGUAUGUGCCACCACAAGGGGCACUUGUUCAAUUUUCUAAAGAAAAAAUUUCUAAAGUAAGGCUGUGGGAUGAUGGCAGGAAGAUAGAAAAACAGAAGAAUAAGUUAAAAUGACUUAUUCACACAUAUUCUUUUGACAGCAAGAAGAACUGUUAGUAUAUACAUUCCUUACAAACAAACAAACGGCAGAUAAACAAUGUUGUAUAGGAACUUCAACACACACUGUACAAUAUUCCCACUUUGCUGACAUAAGUUAUGGAAAUUUCGUGGUUUCCUUGAGUGUCGCUACCAGUAUUUGCUUCUCUGAUGAUUUUUAUCAACUUCCUCAUCUGUUAACUUCUCUCCAAGGUAUGUCAUGUCACGAC